GUAGGGAAUAUUGGGCAAUGGAUGCAAGUCUGACCCAGCCAUCCCGCGUGCCGGAAGAAGGCCCUCAGGGUUGUAAACGGCUUUUGACGGUGAAGAAUCGACAGGAUGCGUCCUGUUUUGACGGUAGCCGUUGAAUAAGCACCGGCUAACUCCGUGCCAGCAGCCGCGGUAAUACGGAGGGUGCGAGCGUUGUCCGGAUUUAUUGGGUUUAAAGGGUGCGUAGGCUGGAAGGUCAGUCAGCGGUGAAAAGCUGUCGCUUAACGAUAGUCUUGCCGCAGAUACUUCCUUUCUUGGAUGAGGAGGAGGCCACUGGAACGGAUGGUGUAGCGGUGAAAUGCAUAGAUAUCAUCCAGAACACCGAUUGCGAAGGCAGGUGGCUGUACCUUAAUCGACGCUGAUGCACGAAAGAAUGGGGAGCAAACAGGAUUAGAAACCCGGGUAGUCC
Molecule: ribosomal RNA, 445 nt
Filed under: uncultured bacterium
Lineage: Bacteria
Description: partial 16S ribosomal RNA
Rfam family: Bacterial small subunit ribosomal RNA
Source: RNAcentral